CUUAUCAAGAGCGGCGGAGGAAACAGGUCCUGUGAAGCCCGGCAACCUGACUGUUUAAUUCAGACAAGGUGCUAAAUCCUGCGGUUUAUCCGGAAGAUGAGG
Molecule: non-coding RNA, 102 nt
Filed under: uncultured Ruminococcus sp.
Lineage: Bacteria; Bacillati; Bacillota; Clostridia; Eubacteriales; Oscillospiraceae
Description: SAM riboswitch (S box leader)
Rfam family: SAM riboswitch aptamer (S box leader)
About the family: The SAM riboswitch is found upstream of a number of genes which code for proteins involved in methionine or cysteine biosynthesis in Gram-positive bacteria. The SAM riboswitch acts at the level of transcription termination control. The predicted structure consists of a complex stem-loop region followed by a single stem loop terminator region.
Source: RNAcentral